This 63-nucleotide transfer RNA is filed under the name Dipodomys ordii (Ord's kangaroo rat). It matches the Rfam family "tRNA". From Rfam's summary of the family: Transfer RNA (tRNA) molecules are approximately 80 nucleotides in length. Their secondary structure includes four short double-helical elements and three loops (D, anti-codon, and T loops). Further hydrogen bonds mediate the characteristic L-shaped molecular structure. tRNAs have two regions of fundamental functional importance: the anti-codon, which is responsible for specific mRNA codon recognition, and the 3' end, to which the tRNAs corresponding amino acid is attached (by aminoacyl-tRNA synthetases). tRNAs cope with the degeneracy of the genetic code in two manners: having more than one tRNA (with a specific anti-codon) for a particular amino acid; and 'wobble' base-pairing, i.e. permitting non-standard base-pairing at the 3rd anti-codon position. Lineage: Eukaryota; Metazoa; Chordata; Mammalia; Rodentia; Heteromyidae. The record is from Rfam by way of RNAcentral.
GGUGGGCUCAGUGGUAGGGUGCUUGCCUCUCAUGCAUGAGGCCUUGGGUUCGACUCAACACCA